GACGAACGCUGGUGGCGUGCCUAAUACAUGCAAGUCGAACGCACUCUCGCUUAGAUUGAAGGAUUUUGCUCCUGAUUGAUAAACAUUUGAGUGAGUGGCGGACGGGCGUGUAACACGUGGGUAACCUGCCCUAAAGUGCGGGUAAACAUUUGGAAACAGAGGUGAAUACUGCAUAAAACCUAACACCGCAUGGUGUAGGUUUGAUAGAUGGUUUCGGCUAUCACUUUAGGAUGGACGCGCGGGGCAUUAGUUAGUUGCUGAGGUAAAGGCUCACUAAGACGGUGAUGGAUUGCCGACGGGAGAGGGUGAUAGGCGACACGGGAGCUGGAACACGGACCAUGCUACUGAGGGACGGAGCAGAAGCGAAUCGUCCGCAGUGGACGAAAGUCUGAUGGAGCAACGCCGCGUGAGAGAAGAAAGUUCUCGGAUCGUAAAACUCUGUUGUUGGAGAAGAAUGUAUCUGGUAGUAACUGAUCAGGUAGUGACGGUAACCAGCAAGAAAGCCACGGCUAACUACGUG
Molecule: ribosomal RNA, 520 nt
Filed under: uncultured bacterium
Lineage: Bacteria
Description: partial 16S ribosomal RNA
Rfam family: Bacterial small subunit ribosomal RNA
Source: RNAcentral